This 346-nucleotide ribosomal RNA is filed under the name uncultured Glomeromycotina. RNAcentral's name for it is "SSU rRNA". It matches the Rfam family "Eukaryotic small subunit ribosomal RNA", at positions 569 to 921 of the family's 1831-position model. The record is from RNAcentral. Lineage: Eukaryota; Fungi; Glomeromycota.
AGCAGCCGCGGUAAUUCCAGCUCCAAUAGCGUAUAUUAAAGUUGUUGCAGUUAAAAGCUCGUAGUUGAAUUUCGGGAUUCGUAGAUUGGUCGUGCCACGGGUAUGUACUGGUCUUACUGAUUCCUCCUUCCUGAUGAACCGUAAUGCCAUUAAUUUGGUGUUGCGGGGAGACUGGACUGUUACUUUGAAAAAUUAGAGUGUUUAAAGCAGGCUUACGCUUGAAUACAUUAGCAUGGAAUAAUGAAAUAGGACGUUCGAUCCUAUUUUGUUGGUUUCUAGGAUUGACGUAAUGAUUAAUAGGGAUAGUUGGGGGCAUUAGUAUUCAAUUGUCAGAGGUGAAAUUCUU